GCUCCAGUGGGGCCUCUGAAAUCUCUGCUCACAUCCAAUUAGGAUGAUCAUUGCAAAAGAAAACCAACACAUACAAAACAGACAGCAAACAGAGCAAGGGUAAGCUAGAAUUUCAAAGAAUACAAAACAAUUUAAAUUAAACAAAGUAAAAGAGACAUACAAGCAACUGCAAUCAUAGAAGGACUACUUUAAUAGAUUAUGAGUUAUAGUUUUAUUAGAUAGCGUUAGACUUAGACUCGUCCAGACCCGGAAUGAAUAUUGAGCUAUGGCGGGUUAUGCACUUGUGGUGGCCUCUACUGCUUUGCAAAGCCAUUGCCAAUGGGUUUCACCCUACCACACACAAGGUUAGUCCGUUAUCACUCACCUUGGCCCAUAUAAAAUGGAGACAACCAAGACUAGGACCCCCUACUGCUCUUCACCACAUGAACUAAUCUUCUCUAAGUGAGAUUGAAUAGUCAUUAGAGCUUUAAGGGAAACCCCCAAGACUGAGCUACCUAUAUUCAUUCCAGAACUUAACUUAAAUCUCACAUAGAGAUGACGCUUGAAUCAUUGAAUCAACUUAUAUACAUAUACCAUCCCUUCUUUACUGAUUUUAAGUUAUUAAUCGUUCACAGUUAAUCAUAUCAUACUAAUUAAAUUCAUACAAGAUAAAUCAAAAAUCAUACAUGGAUCAACACACAAGAAAAAGAAAAAAAAAACAUAAUUAUCUUUAUAAUCUUUAAUUACCAAUACUUAAGUAAUUCAAAUGGCUUGGAGACCCUCACCAAUGGAUCCGGAAGGGUCAAAAACCCCCCAGAACGACCUAAAGAACGUUCAAAACGGAUGUCCGGAGUCCCCAAAACGUCAAAAACAUCAAAAAUACACAACCUGCCGCAGAAAAUUCGCUG
This 887-nucleotide long non-coding RNA is filed under the name Vigna radiata. Its description in RNAcentral is "long non-coding RNA (VRAD_LNC000300)". The record is from RNAcentral. Lineage: Eukaryota; Viridiplantae; Streptophyta; Magnoliopsida; Fabales; Fabaceae.